Molecule: ribosomal RNA, 253 nt
Filed under: uncultured bacterium
Lineage: Bacteria
Description: partial 16S ribosomal RNA
Rfam family: Bacterial small subunit ribosomal RNA
Source: RNAcentral
UACGAAGGGGGCUAGCGUUGUUCGGAAUCACUGGGCGUAAAGGGCGCGUAGGCGGCCGUUCAAGUCGGGGGUGAAAGCCUGUGGCUCAACCACAGAAUUGCCUUCGAUACUGUUCGGCUCGAGACCGGAAGAGGUUGGUGGAACUGCGAGUGUAGAGGUGAAAUUCGUAGAUAUUGGGAAGAACACCGAUGGCGAAGGCAGCCAUCUGGACCGACACUGACGCUGAGGCGCGAAAGCGUGGGGAGCAAACAGG